RNAcentral lists this ribosomal RNA (440 nucleotides) under uncultured bacterium. RNAcentral's name for it is "partial 16S ribosomal RNA". It matches the Rfam family "Bacterial small subunit ribosomal RNA", at positions 338 to 795 of the family's 1533-position model. The record is from RNAcentral.
CCUACGGGGGGCAGCAGUAGGGAAUCUUUCACAAUGGGCGAAAGCCUGAUGGAGCAACGCCGCGUGCAGGAUGAAGGCCUUCGGGUUGUAAACUGCUUUUAUCAGCGAGAAAUAUGAUGGUAACUUCUGAAUAAGGAUCGGCUACCUACGUGCCAGCAGCCGCGGUCAUACGUAGGAUCCGAGCGUCAUCCGGAUUUAUUGGGUGUAAAGGGUGCGUAGGCGGUUUGAUAAGUUAGAGGUGAAAUGUCGGGGCUCAACCCCGAAACUGCCUCUAAUACUGUUGGACUAGAGAAUAGUUGCGGUAGGCGGAAUGUAUGGUGUAGCGGUGAAAUGCUUAGAGAUCAUAAAGAACACCGAUUGCGAAGGCAGCUUACCAAACUAUAACUGACGUUGAGGCACGAAAGCGUGGGUAGCAAACAGGAUUAGAUACCCCGGUAGUC